Molecule: ribosomal RNA, 346 nt
Filed under: uncultured Chloroflexota bacterium
Lineage: Bacteria; Bacillati; Chloroflexota
Description: uncultured Chloroflexi bacterium partial 16S ribosomal RNA
Rfam family: Bacterial small subunit ribosomal RNA
Source: RNAcentral
CCUACGGGAGGCAGCAGUGAGGGAUAUUGCGCAAUGGGCGAAAGCCUGACGCAGCGACGCCGCGUGAGGGAAGAAGGCCUUCGGGUCGUAAACCUCUUUUGCCGGGGAAGAAGAUCUGACGGUACCCGGCGAAUAAGCCACGGCUAACUACGUGCCAGCAGCCGCGGUAAUACGUAGGUGGCGAGCGUUGUCCGGAUUUACUGGGCGUAAAGGGCUUGUAGGCGGUCCGUUAAGUCCGGUGUGAAAUCUCCCGGCCCAACCGGGAGGGAUCAUCGGAUACUGGCGGGCUAGAGGGAGGCAGAGGAAAGCGGAAUUCCCGUUGUAGCGGUGAAAUGCGCAGAGAUCG